Molecule: transfer RNA, 72 nt
Filed under: Acanthopleuribacter pedis
Lineage: Bacteria; Pseudomonadati; Acidobacteriota; Holophagae; Acanthopleuribacterales; Acanthopleuribacteraceae
Rfam family: tRNA
About the family: Transfer RNA (tRNA) molecules are approximately 80 nucleotides in length.
Source: Rfam by way of RNAcentral
GCGCUUGUGGCCAAGUGGAAAGGCAUCGGUCUUCGAAGCCGACGACCGUAGGUUCGAAUCCUACCAAGCGCA